AGUCAAUAGAUACCCGGGUAGUCCAUGCCGUAAACGAUGAUUGCUAGGUGUGGGGGGUCUGACUCCUUCCGUGCCGGAGUUAAACACAAUAAGCAAUCCACCUGGGGAGUACGGCCGCAAGGUUGAAACUCAAAGGAAUUGACGGGGGCCCGCACAAGCAGUGGAGUAUGUGGUUUAAAUUCGAAGCAACGCGAAGAACCUUACCAGGUCUUGACAUCCACCGAAUCCUGUAGAGAUACGGGAGUGCCCUUCGGGGAACGGUGAGACAGGUGGUGCAUGGUUGUCGUCAGCUCGUGUCGUGAGAUGUUGGGUUAAGUCCCGCAACGAGCGCAACCCUUGUGAAUAGUUGCUACGAAAGAGCACUCUAUUCAGACCGCCGUUGACAAAACGGAGGAAGGUGGGGAUGACGUCAAAUCAUCAUGCCCCUUAUGACCUGGGCUACACACGUACUACAAUGGCCGUUAACAGAGGGAUGCAAUGCCGCGAGGUGGAGCGAACCCCUAAAAACGGUCUCAGUUCAGAUUGCAGGCUGAAACUCGCCUGC
This 544-nucleotide ribosomal RNA is filed under the name uncultured bacterium. Its description in RNAcentral is "bacterial SSU rRNA". It matches the Rfam family "Bacterial small subunit ribosomal RNA", at positions 775 to 1319 of the family's 1533-position model. The record is from RNAcentral.